GUGAAAGCGUUCUCUUCCAGCUGCUUGAUCAUCCUGCAGCGUCUUUCGCUCUCAUUUUCAGCUGCUGCAACACAAACAGCAAAGGAAACCACAAGAUGGGGAAUAAGCAAAGCUCAGAUAAGCACAAUCAAGUCCACACAGAUGGUGCAACAUCAACAAAACAUAAUAAGAAGCAGCUUGAGUGUGUCAGUACAGGUGAAACCUUUGGGGCAGACGAAGCUUUGAAGGAACAAGUUACCAGGAAGCUCAAGGAAAAAAUCCGCACCAAGAUACACCACCUCAUUGUUUUUUGUCCCAUCACGUCUCGUGUUGGCUCAGAUGUGGAAGCAGCCAUGGACAAAAUGAAAAGUGAUCGAGAUAUCAUUUUGGUUUUGAUGCACCACACCACAGAUCCUGACUACUCAACUGCUGGGACAAAUUGGUCUGAAACAAUCGAUAAUGUUGACUUGGAUGUUCAUGUUCUGUUCCAUGAAUCUGUGCCGGGGUUGUUGAAAUGUUCACAAAAUCAUAAUGCAGUGGAUCAAAUUGUUGAAUUUUUAAAACAAAAGGAAAAGAGCAAAACUGAAAAAAUGAAUAUCAGUAGUUGGGUGUGCUGUUGUGGCGCAGGGUGUUAGCACGCCCCACAUUUGGAGGCCUUAGUCCUCGUCGCGGGUUCGACUCCCGGUCCCGACGACCUUUACCACAUGUCUUCCUCACCCUCCUUCCUGU
Xiphophorus maculatus (southern platyfish) is the source of this 708-nucleotide long non-coding RNA. RefSeq lists it as uncharacterized. The transcript is spliced from 5 exons. NCBI's taxonomy places the organism in Eukaryota, Metazoa, Chordata, Actinopteri, Cyprinodontiformes, Poeciliidae. The record is from RefSeq and is a predicted model, not a curated record.